Molecule: unclassified non-coding RNA, 232 nt
Filed under: Tranzschelia discolor
Lineage: Eukaryota; Fungi; Basidiomycota; Pucciniomycetes; Pucciniales; Raveneliaceae
Description: ITS1
Source: RNAcentral
AUGAAAAAAAUGAGUGCACUUUAUUGUGGCUCAACCCAAUUUUUUCAAUACACCCCAAAAUGGCUAUUUGGCAUGCCUUUUUUUAUACACUUGUUUUCUCAAGGAUGUGAAAAAGUAUAGUCAUUUGGCACAAGCAAAUAUUAAUUUAUUUGCAUUACCCCUUAUCAAUUUAUUUAUUUUCCAGUCAAGUAUUUGAGAAUGUAAAAAAAACUUUAAUAAAGUGUAAAAUAUA